GAUAAACGCUGGCGGCGUGCUUAACACAUGCAAGUCGAACGAAGUUUUUCCUUCGGGAGAAACUUAGUGGCGGACGGGUGAGUAACGCGUGGGUAACCUGCCCUGUACAGGGGGACAACAGCUGGAAACGGCUGCUAAUACCGCAUAAGCCCUUAGCACUGCAUGGUGCAUAGGGAAAAGGAGCAAUCCGGUACAGGAUGGACCCGCGUCUGAUUAGCCAGUUGGCAGGGUAACGGCCUACCAAAGCGACGAUCAGUAGCCGAUCUGAGAGGAUGUACGGCCACAUUGGGACUGAGACACGGCCCAGACUCCUACGGGAGGCAGCAGUGGGGAAUAUUGCACAAUGGAGGAAACUCUGAUGCAGCGACGCCGCGUGAGUGAAGAGGUAUUUCGGUAUGUAAAGCUCUAUCAGCAGGGAAGAAAAUGACGGUACCGGACUAAGAAGCACCGGCUAAAUACGU
This 461-nucleotide ribosomal RNA is filed under the name uncultured bacterium. RNAcentral's name for it is "partial 16S ribosomal RNA". It matches the Rfam family "Bacterial small subunit ribosomal RNA", at positions 28 to 506 of the family's 1533-position model. The record is from RNAcentral.